GUUACCUGCGGUGCCGUGGCUGUGGGAGUAGGUGGGGGGCAAUGGUUGUCCGGGUUGAUCGGGCGUCAAGGGCGGGUAGGCGGCCUGAAAGGUCAGCGGGGAAAGCUCGCGGGGCAACCUGGAGACGUCGGUUGAAACCAUCUGGCUAGAGGCCGGAAGAGGAGUGUGGAAGUCCCGGUGUAGCGGUGAAAUGCGCAGAGAUCGGGAAGAACACCCGUGGCGAAGGCGGCACUCUGGGACGGUACUGACGCUGAGACGCGAAAGCGUGGGGAGCGAACAGGAUUAGAUACCCGUGUAGUC
This 300-nucleotide ribosomal RNA is filed under the name uncultured Desulfurococcus sp. RNAcentral's name for it is "bacterial SSU rRNA". It matches the Rfam family "Bacterial small subunit ribosomal RNA", at positions 496 to 795 of the family's 1533-position model. Lineage: Archaea; Thermoproteati; Thermoproteota; Thermoprotei; Desulfurococcales; Desulfurococcaceae. The record is from RNAcentral.